UACGUAGGGGGCUAGCGUUGUCCGGAUUUAUUGGGCGUAAAGAGCUCGUAGGCGGUGUGUCGCGUCGGUCGUGAAAACUUGGGGCUUAACCCUGAGCUUGCGGUCGAUACGGGCAUCACUGGAGUUCGGCAGGGGAGACUGGAAUUCCUGGUGUAGCGGUGAAAUGCGCAGAUAUCAGGAGGAACACCGGUGGCGAAGGCGGGUCUCUGGGCCGAUACUGACGCUGAGGAGCGAAAGCGUGGGGAGCGAACAGG
RNAcentral lists this ribosomal RNA (254 nucleotides) under uncultured bacterium. RNAcentral's name for it is "partial 16S ribosomal RNA". It matches the Rfam family "Bacterial small subunit ribosomal RNA", at positions 524 to 776 of the family's 1533-position model. The record is from RNAcentral.